RNAcentral lists this ribosomal RNA (400 nucleotides) under uncultured bacterium. Its description in RNAcentral is "bacterial SSU rRNA". It matches the Rfam family "Bacterial small subunit ribosomal RNA", at positions 355 to 748 of the family's 1533-position model. The record is from RNAcentral.
UCGAGAAUUUUUCUCAAUGGGCGAAAGCCUGAAGGAGCGACGCCGCGUGGGGGAUGAAUGGCUUCGGCCCGUAAACCCCUGUCAUUUGCGAACAAACCUCAUCAUUUAAAAGAUGAUGAGCUGAUUGUAGCGAAAGAGGAAGGGACGGCUAACUCUGUGCCAGCAGCCGCGGUAAUACAGAGGUCCCAAGCGUUGUUCGGAUUCACUGGGCGUAAAGGGUGCGUAGGUGGUCGGAUAAGUCUGAUGUGAAAUCUCCGAGCUCAACUCGGAAACUGCAUCGGAUACUAUUCGACUCGAGGGUUGGAGGGGGGACUGGAAUACUUGGUGUAGCAGUGAAAUGCGUAGAUAUCAAGUGGAACACCAGUGGCGAAGGCGAGUCCCUGGACAACUCCUGACACUG